UCCUGACUGUCGCAUGGCGCGGCAGACACUAGCCAAGACAGGAGAAAGCAAUG
This 53-nucleotide non-coding RNA is filed under the name unclassified sequences. The record is from Rfam.